UUGAACGCUGGCGGCAGGCCUAACACAUGCAAGUCGAACGGUAACAGGAAGAAGCUUGCUUCUUUGCUGACGAGUGGCGGACGGGUGAGUAAUGUCUGGGAAACUGCCUGAUGGAGGGGGAUAACUACUGGAAACGGUAGCUAAUACCGCAUAACGUCGCAAGACCAAAGAGGGGUACCUUCGGGCCUCUUGCCAUCGGAUGUGCCCAGAUGGGAUUAGCUAGUAGGUGGGGUAACGGCUCACCUAGGCGACGAUCCCUAGCUGGUCUGAGAGGAUGACCAGCCACACUGGAACUGAGACACGGCCCAGACUCCUACGGGAGGCAGCAGUGGGGAAUAUUGCACAAUGGGCGCAAGCCUGAUGAAGCCAUGCCGCGUGUAUGAAGAAGGCCUUCGGGUUGUAAAGUACUUUCAGCGGGGAGGAAGGGAGUAAAGUUAAUACCUUUGCUCAUUGACGUUACCCGCAGAAGAAGCACCGGCUAACUCCGUG
RNAcentral lists this ribosomal RNA (489 nucleotides) under uncultured bacterium. Its description in RNAcentral is "partial 16S ribosomal RNA". It matches the Rfam family "Bacterial small subunit ribosomal RNA", at positions 30 to 507 of the family's 1533-position model. The record is from RNAcentral.